GUGCUCGCUUCAGCAGCACAUAUACUAAAAUUGGAACAGCACGGAGAUUAGUACGGCUCCUGUACAAGGAUGGCAUGCAGACUUGUAAAGCAUUCCGUAUUUU
RNAcentral lists this small nuclear RNA (103 nucleotides) under Mus pahari (shrew mouse). Lineage: Eukaryota; Metazoa; Chordata; Mammalia; Rodentia; Muridae. The record is from RNAcentral.